GGAGCCGGUCGGGUGAUCGCCUUGACAAUGUUGGGGAGGAAAGUCCGAACACCGCAGAGCAGGAUGCCUCCUAACGGGAGGGAUCCCGAUAUUUCAAAAUGUCGGGAUACGGCAUGUGCAGCAGAAAGUAAACUACCCCUACACUCGUGUCGGGGAAAAGGUGAAACGGUGGUUUAAGAGACCACCAGUUCUGAUGGAGACAUCGGAAGCUGGGUAAACCCCAUUCGGUGCAAGAUCAAGCAGCUCCGAGAUGUUGCUCGCAUCAUUAUAAGGAGCGGGUAGAUCGCGUGAACUCGAUCGUGAGGUCGAGUCCAGAUGAAUGAUCACCGUCCCGACAUGUCGGGAUACAGAAUUCGGCUUAUAGACCGGCUCCAAAA
Molecule: RNase P RNA, 377 nt
Filed under: Fidelibacterota bacterium
Lineage: Bacteria; Pseudomonadati; Fidelibacterota
Description: RNase P RNA component class A
Rfam family: Bacterial RNase P class A
About the family: Ribonuclease P (RNase P) is a ubiquitous endoribonuclease, found in archaea, bacteria and eukarya as well as chloroplasts and mitochondria.
Source: RNAcentral